CUCAGGGCUCAUCCACCUACUCAGGAGAAUUUAAACUCACUCAGAGCCUUGCAGAGUCUAACAGACUGGUGUUACUUCUGCUGGAAUCAAUGGGAGAGUGGCUGUUGAAUUAGGGAGUGGGAUGCACCCUAAAUAAUACAGGAAUGGUGAACAAUUCGUGAGGAUUGUGAUGGCUGACAAACUUGGAGAGAAUCAGCUCUGAAGAUAACGAAGCAUUUGCCUGCAGAGUUCGGUUGAAAAACCAGAUAUUUAAUAAUACGCUUUAUAACUCUGAUAGUGAAAGCUAUGUAACAGUGUCUGAAAGUCUCAGAGCAGAGGUUGUUGAAGCAAUGCAUGCUGAACUGGGGAAUGCCCACUCUGAUAUUUUGGUGCUGGGGCUAAGACCUGGCAGUGUGAUCGCUGAUUUUCUCUUCCUGCUGCCAAAAGAAGAAGCCAGGGAUGUGGGUGAUAUAAAGACACUCCUGAGUAAUGUAUUAAGGAGCAAGUUUGGGAACCAAAGUGAAGUGCAAACUCUGUCUGUUCAGUCAUCAACUGACAACAGCUCCUCCUGGAGAGUAGCAGUGAUUGUCCUUGGAGUUUUACUUGGAGUUGCAUUACUGCUGAUUCUGCUGGCAGUACUGUUUUACAUCUAUGUGAGGAGAAGAUCAGGUAUGGAAUUUUCCCCAUUGUACACACGGUAGAGUGAGGAACAGAGAAACUUCUCUUCAGCCUAUCCUCUAUAGGUACUGCAAUGACUCCUAACACUGGCAAUCUAGAGAGAAAAGACCCAAACUACUCAAUACUGUA
Long non-coding RNA from Serinus canaria (Common canary), 786 nucleotides. RefSeq lists it as uncharacterized. Lineage: Eukaryota; Metazoa; Chordata; Aves; Passeriformes; Fringillidae. The transcript is spliced from 5 exons. The record is from RefSeq and is a predicted model, not a curated record.